This 690-nucleotide ribosomal RNA is filed under the name uncultured Lachnospiraceae bacterium. RNAcentral describes it as "bacterial SSU rRNA". It matches the Rfam family "Bacterial small subunit ribosomal RNA", at positions 45 to 736 of the family's 1533-position model. The record is from RNAcentral. Lineage: Bacteria; Bacillati; Bacillota; Clostridia; Lachnospirales; Lachnospiraceae.
UGCUUAACACAUGCAAGUCGAACGGGAAAUACUUUAUUGAAACUUCGGUGGAUUUAAUUUAUUUCUAGUGGCGGACGGGUGAGUAACGCGUGGGUAACCUGCCUUAUACUGGGGGAUAACAGCCAGAAAUGACUGCUAAUACCGCAUAAGCGCACAGAACCGCAUGGUUCGGUGUGAAAAACUCCGGUGGUAUAAGAUGGACCCGCGUUGGAUUAGCUAGUUGGCAGGGCAGCGGCCUACCAAGGCGACGAUCCAUAGCCGGCCUGAGAGGGUGAACGGCCACAUUGGGACUGAGACACGGCCCAGACUCCUACGGGAGGCAGCAGUGGGGAAUAUUGCACAAUGGGGGAAACCCUGAUGCAGCGACGCCGCGUGAAGGAAGAAGUAUCUCGGUAUGUAAACUUCUAUCAGCAGGGAAGAUAAUGACGGUACCUGACUAAGAAGCCCCGGCUAACUACGUGCCAGCAGCCGCGGUAAUACGUAGGGGGCAAGCGUUAUCCGGAUUUACUGGGUGUAAAGGGAGCGUAGACGGCGCAGCAAGUCUGAUGUGAAAGGCAGGGGCUUAACCCCUGGACUGCAUUGGAAACUGCUGUGCUUGAGUGCCGGAGGGGUAAGCGGAAUUCCUAGUGUAGCGGUGAAAUGCGUAGAUAUUAGGAGGAACACCAGUGGCGAAGGCGGCUUACUGGACGG